CUCUAAGUAGCUUACACAAGAGCACAGGCCUUUUAAGCCUGCGACGAGCUAUGGCUCCUUAGAAC
RNAcentral lists this transfer RNA (65 nucleotides) under Paroedura masobe. RNAcentral describes it as "tRNA-Lys". The record is from RNAcentral. Lineage: Eukaryota; Metazoa; Chordata; Lepidosauria; Squamata; Gekkonidae.